CUAUGUUGUUCAAUUAACAAUCCAUUCUUUUUAAAUUAGUGAAUAGCAUUCCAUUGUAUUGAUAUACCAUGCAAUUUGCUUUUCCAUUCACUUGUUUCUGGAAAUUUGAAUUAUUUCCAGUUUGGGGGCAAUUAUAAAUAAAGCACAUAUACAUGUCUGUAUGUCUUUGUGUGGACAUAAUCUUUCAUGACUUUUGAAUUAAUACCUAGAAGUGGAAUGGCUGGGUCAUAUAGCAGGUAUAUGUUUACCUUUUUGUGAGGCUGCCAGAAUUUGCUGCUGUUGUUGUUGUUUUGUGGUGCUGGAGAUUGAACCCAGGGCUUCACACAUGUGAAGUAAGUACUCUACCAUUGAGCUACAUCCCCAGCUCAUUUCUUUCUUUUUGAAAUGGGGUCCUCUCCAUGUUACCCAAGCUGGUCUCAAACUCUUGGGCUCAGAUGAUAUUCCCACUUAAGCCUCCAGAGUAACUGGCAUUACAGGUGUGUGUCAUCAUAUCUGGCUGAAGCUGCCAAACUGUUCAAAAUGGUUGUACUUCAUCCCCAACAAGAGUGAAAGAAAGUUUCUGUUCUGUACUGCUAUGGGUCUUCAUUGUUCAUCAUGUGGCUGUGUAUAUGUGGAUCUCCUUCUGUGCUUUUUUAUUACUUCCCCAAGACAGGGUCUUUCUAUGUUGCCCUGGCUGGUCUUGAAUUCCUGGC
This 692-nucleotide long non-coding RNA is filed under the name Marmota monax (woodchuck). The record is from RNAcentral. Lineage: Eukaryota; Metazoa; Chordata; Mammalia; Rodentia; Sciuridae.